ACUUCGAAUUCUCGAAGUGAUCGAAAUGAUCAGAUCGAAUCAAUCAUCAAUUUAUAUUUAUAUUUAUAUUUUAACAAAAAAGAUAAACCAAAAGAUUCUAACCUAACCUGUUUUUAUCGCAUUUAUUAACGAGGAUGGAAGAUAUUAUCGGUUCGCACACGUCUUUCGAUGGAGCGCGAUUUACAAGGCAAAAGUUAGAAAGCAUGGCUCCGUUUGUUUCCGAAACAUUGAGAUUACUACAGAUAAAGGUACAUUUGAACAUGUACUACGCGUUUUCGUUAACUUUCGAUUUCACGCGACUUUAAAACUUGAUUAACGCGUUAUCCUGCCAUGUAAUUAUACUGGCAAGAUAGAUCUAUUGACAGCAGAUCAAAUAUGUAUAUAUAUAUAUAUGAAAAUAUUUCUACAAUAUGAUUUAUUUUAUAAUAUUUUAUAAUUGUUAAUAUGUAUAAUUGUGUAUAUUGUGUAUAAAUUAAAAAGAUAUAUUUUCUAAAAAGACAUAAAUGAAAAUAAUGUAUAUUAUCAUAUGUUAAACAUAAUUCAAUGAUUGGAUCAUGAUGAUUAAAUCCCACAGAAUCAUAUAUGCAGGUGAACGUAAUCUAAUCUAACAAUAUGAUACAAUACAAGAGAAUCAUUAUUCCAAAGUGCGAAACAGCAUGGUAGACAGUUAGUUUUUAAUCAAGAAAUAUACGGUAUUAUAUACGUGGUGGUAGAAAAAUCAUGGCAGUGAAAGGACAGUGUAUAAGUAAAGUGACGAGAAGAGGCGUCGAGUCGUGUGUGAGAUCCGCAGGAACACGAGAUAACGGUGUGUAAUGAGGACAUUCUUGAAAGCACUCGAAAUGCAAUCUCUGCACAGCCGACAAAUUGUCUGAGAACAGUGUCGUUCUCAGAGCUGGGCCAGAGGCUGCCAUCAGCUGUAAUUAAUUUUCAAAAAUCAUUAGAUUGAUAAAAACUAUUGAACUAAAAGGAAAAUUCCCAGGAAAGACAAUAAAAGAACAAAACCAUGAAAAUCAUAAAAAAAUUUUCCUUAAGAAGAAAAAAAUCCAAGAAAGUAAAGGAAUGUACCAAAGCUAUAAAACUUUCAUAGUUGAAGUGAAGAAACUUCUCUCGAAUGUGUUCUUUAUCGACCAUUCCAGACUAACUAAUGUCGAACACCUGCAACCGUCCCAUUGAAAUGCUCCCGCUAAACGCUCGAUCGAUGGAACCUCGAUGAAUUCAUAUCACUUCCCGUCAGAACGGAAACGCCGCGGAUGGAAUAACUGAACGAUUGGAAACGCGUCUACGCUUGUAAGCGAUCGUUUCCUUCUGCAACUAGGCGAGGCAUCCUCGUCGAUGCAUCCCCGUGCCAAAAAGAUGCGUGUCUUCAAUGUUUAACGAUGAAAUCGACGGAGUGAAUUCAGAUCGCCACAGCACGGUUAUCAUUCUAAAUUGAACGCUUUUUCCUUUUUGCGUUCUCUCUUGGCAACCGGUCUUGAUCGGAUCGCCAUGGUUCCACGAGCCAAUUUACCACGAGGCAACAAGUGAUGAGUUAACACGGUCUAGUAUGAUAGGGUUUAAUGUAGUGGAACUUGGCCUGAACUACCUGAUUGCCAAGAGAAACGAUAUGAUGGCGAGGAGAGAAAAUAGUUUGAUCAGACAAAUGAGUAGGUAAAUGAUAAAAAUGACAUCGAAGAAUAAUUGUUGGCGACUGGAACUAAAGAUAUUUUCUUUAGUUCGUUGACAUCGAGGCGAUUAUUCGUAAUCUAUUAAUUUCUUCUGAAAGUAAAUAAUAAGAAUGUUUAAAAGUCGAGUAUUCGUUGAAUAAUCGAUUUAAUUGAAGUAUACAAAAAAUCACUUGACCAUUGAAAGAUCAUCAUUUAAACAGUAUCAAUCAAACCAUCAGCGAGAAAGUUCAUGUUAAUAACACAAAGAUAUUGUUCUUUAAAUUUGAGUGACCGGUCAAGCAUCUCAAGAAAACCAUGUUGAAAGAACAAGUAGAACGUUCAAGUACAAGAAUCUUCUUACCAAUUUGAUGAAUAAUGAAGAGAACAUUCCAGGAGAAGAGAAAAAAGAGAGCAUAAGGACAAGCGUUGAAAUGAACGAGAGAAACUGGUCAAGUUUCGAUUUUCAUGGGAUCUGGUUAAAUAAAAAUUCAUCGGUUGAACUGAUUUUCUUGGCAUGCCGUCCGAUAAGCAUGGUGUUAAGGUUACCUAAGCACUUUCUAUGCCAGUCGAUGGCCGCUCGCUUUGAACGAGCCUCGAUUCGGAAUGGAAAUUAUGUCGUCGGUCGUUGUUACGUGGAAUGUCGUUCUCCGAUAAUGAGGGACACCGCCAAGGAUACGUGCUUACUUAAACCGCUAUUGUUUGAUUUCAUUCACGAGAAGCUUACACCAUAUCCAUUUUUAUUGAAUUAUUAAUAUGAUCCCAAGAUUUGAUAGUAAUAUUUAAUGAGAUCACUGGUACAUAAUAGUAUUAAAUGUUUAUUACAAUUCAUUCACAAGAAGUUUGCAUCCUUUUGAUGUGAAAAUAAUCUAAAAAGGAAUCUUUAUUGUACAAGUGUUAUUGACAAAAAACCUAUUGGAACAUUGAAUCAUUAAGCUUAUUUAUAUUUAUAUUAUGACAUUAUAUCAAUUGCUAAAAGAAAUAAAAAAUUAUCUCAAAAGACUUGAGUUAUUAUCAAAAUCAAAAGAUGAAUCAAAUAAUUUAAGAAAAAGAAAUAAGAAGAGAGAUGUCUUUGAGGAUGCCCGAGCGUAAAGAUUGAUUGAAGAUAGCGGUUCGCUCAUGGAAAGAAACGUUAAUCUAUGUCCAACAUGCACCAGGAGCCGGAAUUAGUUUGCCAGCCGGACAAUCGCGCAUUAAUCUUCUACUUCUGUUGCAUUCGAAGAGAGAGAGAAAGAGAGAAGAGGCUCUUCCUAUUAGGGAGAAACGGGAGUAUUGUGAGAAUCUAGCUUUUGGAACCAUCCUAUCUGAGCAACAAUGGAUCUGCUUGCUAGAAGAAUUACGAGUGAAAGAGUGAAAGACUUAAAUCUAACUGCACAUAAACGACCUUCGAUGUGCACAAUUUAUGAUUCACAAGAAAUAAUUUUG
This 3065-nucleotide long non-coding RNA is filed under the name Apis florea (little honeybee). Its description in RNAcentral is "uncharacterized LOC100865981, transcript variant X1". The record is from RNAcentral. Lineage: Eukaryota; Metazoa; Arthropoda; Insecta; Hymenoptera; Apidae.